GAUGAAGAACGUAGCGAAAUGCGAUAAGUAAUGUGAAUUGCAGAAUUCAGUGAAUCAUCGAAUCUUUGAACGCACAUUGCGCCCUCUGGUAUUCCGGGGGGCAUGCCUGUUCGAGCGUCAUUAUAACCACUCAAGCUCUCGCUUGGUAUUGGGGUUCGCGGUUCCGCGGCCCCUAAAAUCAGUGGCGGUGCCUGUCGGCUCUACGCGUAGUAAUACUCCUCGCGAUUGAGUCCGGUAGGUCUACUUGCCAGCAACCACCAAUUUUUACAGGUUGACCUCGGAUCAGGUAGGGAUACCCGCUGAACUUAAGCAUAUCAAUAAGCGGAGGA
Molecule: unclassified non-coding RNA, 329 nt
Filed under: soil metagenome
Description: partial contains 5.8S ribosomal RNA, internal transcribed spacer 2, and large subunit ribosomal RNA
Rfam family: 5.8S ribosomal RNA (bases 1-120)
Source: RNAcentral